GGAAGCGUAUCGAAGUGGUCAUAACGGGCCUGACUCGAAAUCAGGUAGCCUUAACGGGCUCGUGGGUUCGAAUCCCACCGCUUCCGCCA
Molecule: transfer RNA, 89 nt
Filed under: Clostridia bacterium
Lineage: Bacteria; Bacillati; Bacillota; Clostridia
Description: tRNA-Ser
Rfam family: tRNA
About the family: Transfer RNA (tRNA) molecules are approximately 80 nucleotides in length. Their secondary structure includes four short double-helical elements and three loops (D, anti-codon, and T loops). Further hydrogen bonds mediate the characteristic L-shaped molecular structure. tRNAs have two regions of fundamental functional importance: the anti-codon, which is responsible for specific mRNA codon recognition, and the 3' end, to which the tRNAs corresponding amino acid is attached (by aminoacyl-tRNA synthetases). tRNAs cope with the degeneracy of the genetic code in two manners: having more than one tRNA (with a specific anti-codon) for a particular amino acid; and 'wobble' base-pairing, i.e. permitting non-standard base-pairing at the 3rd anti-codon position.
Source: RNAcentral